GCUGUUAUUCAGACAGCAAUGAAAAUUGGAACAAUACAGAAAAGAUUAGCAUGGCCCCUGUACAAGGAGGACAUGCCAAUUUGUGAAGUGCUCCAUAUUUUU
This 102-nucleotide small nuclear RNA is filed under the name Mandrillus leucophaeus (drill). The record is from RNAcentral. Lineage: Eukaryota; Metazoa; Chordata; Mammalia; Primates; Cercopithecidae.